Molecule: long non-coding RNA, 1886 nt
Filed under: Paramuricea clavata
Lineage: Eukaryota; Metazoa; Cnidaria; Anthozoa; Malacalcyonacea; Plexauridae
Source: RNAcentral
GGCUAGUAUUCCAAAGGUCGUAGGUUCGAAACCCACCGUGGCCGGGCAUAUUUUUCAAGCUCGCCCGGUGUGGAUAUACACUCAGAGUAACACCACAAAUAUCAUAUUCACCUGAGUACACUACACCACCACAGAAAAAAAAAUUCAUGUUGUACUAUUUGCUGUAUAUUAACUGCUGACAAUUUCGUCGUCGAUACGGCUUCCACUAUUGGCACACUCGUGAUUUCGAAGAAAUUAAUAAAUACAUGCUCAUUUAUCAUUUAUUUAGACCACAGUUAGUAAAAUUUUAGACGUAUGCGGUAUUCCAAAUCCCAAUCUAUCUGACCGUAUUUUAGUAAUAGCUUCAAAUAUUCAGAACAUUGUUCUUUCAGUCGCACAUAGUACAAGUAUUACUGUACAUUCAAAGCCAAUGGUAGUAUUUUAUUCGGCUUUAUAUUUGUAUGUGUAUUGAUAUCUAUUUAAUAUUUGAAUUCUAUGCCUUUCCGAGUAAUAUAUUGUGCGGCUAAUGUUUUGUAUUAUUGUUCAUGUUGCACAAUGUGUGACAAUGUACACGCCUUGCGUCAAUUUGACAGUUGACAGUUUAUUUAUCGCAGUCGACGCUGAUUGGUUAGCGUUUAGCAGAUGCGAAAAGGGGAUGAUUGAAUAAAACGCAUGGUUCCGUGCAGGCUCACCUUUCUCCCAGUGAGCCUGUUCGCAGGCUACAUUUAUCUCAAAUAGUAGAUAAAUGGGGGGAGAGUGUUGGAGAUUGUCAAUAUUUAAUAUUUAACAGUUUAUGGCAUACCUGAAGUUAUUUAAUGCGCAAGUGUCAAUCAAAAAAGCAUGCGGUUUGUACAUUGCAAGGACUUUGUGUGAUUGUGUUGAGACGGGGCGAGAAUAAAUAUAUUUUUCAUAAUAGCGUUUGAAAUCUCUACUUUUAGUGAGUUGUUGUGAAUAUAGGAGGCAAUUCACGACAAUCGCAAGAUCUUGAAUUUUUUUCAGAAAGUCAUACAAUAUGACGUCAUAUUGAGAAUAAUUUGCGUAUAAAUGUUAAAUAUCCCAAGAACGAAACAACUUAAGGUAUUUUCGGCAAGGUAUCUCAUUUGCCGGGCCAUUCGGUGGCAACAGAUCUCCCAGCUUGUUAACAAAUAUAGGUAUUUAAGCUACCUCUAUUGAGUCACCGUACUUGAAAUUAAAAGUGGAUAAACUAGUUGCACAUUUUAUGCUAUAAUAUAGAAAAGGUAUCACGUUUACCAAAAUAUCAACAUGUUCAGAAUGUCAAGAUUUCCUUAGCCUUUAAAUAGGAUAAGAAUUUAGCCAUUUGUCUUCAAGUGGACUUUCCAUUCCGAUAUUCAAAUAUAAAAUACAUAAAAAGUAAAGAGAAGUAAACAGACCCAGCAUACAGUAAAAACCCGUGGAUUAAGAACCAGUGGGUCUUCUAAGAACAACCAGUCUGAAUGUUGGGAAUGGACCUUUCCCCAAAUAACUAAAAUUUCGAUCUAGACAAAAAUUUCAUUACAGCUUGAAAGAGCAUCACAAAAUUAGUAAUAUUCCAAAGUUUCGUUGCGAAAUGUUGUAAAAUGAGGAAAAUAGAGCCUUGCGAAGUUUGCAAUUUUCAGUCAUUUUGCAUUACAAACGGGAAAUUGCAGCCCCAACACCCGAAUCGGAUGUCAAUUUCCCGUUUGUAAUACAAAAUGACUGAAAAACGGCAAACUUCGCAAGGCUAUAUUAUUCGCAUUUUACAAGAUUUUGCAACAAAACUUUGGAAUAUUACUAAUUUUGUGAUGCUCUUUCAAGCUGUAAUGAAAUUUUUGUCUAGAUCGAAAUUUUAGUUAUAAGGGGAAAGGUCCAUUACUAUCAAAAGCAACAGAUCCUAUUGUCGUUGGCAAUUACGCGAAACGGAGUCACAA